This 253-nucleotide ribosomal RNA is filed under the name uncultured Lachnospiraceae bacterium. Its description in RNAcentral is "partial 16S ribosomal RNA". It matches the Rfam family "Bacterial small subunit ribosomal RNA", at positions 524 to 776 of the family's 1533-position model. Lineage: Bacteria; Bacillati; Bacillota; Clostridia; Lachnospirales; Lachnospiraceae. The record is from RNAcentral.
UACGUAGGUGGCAAGCGUUGUCCGGAUUUAUUGGGCGUAAAGCGAGUGCAGGCGGUUCAAUAAGUCUGAUGUGAAAUACCGGGGCUCAACCCCGGGGCUGCAUUGGAAACUGGCAGGCUGGAGUGCCGGAGAGGCAGGCGGAAUUCCUAGUGUAGCGGUGAAAUGCGUAGAUAUUAGGAGGAACACCAGUGGCGAAGGCGGCCUGCUGGACGGUGACUGACGCUGAGGCUCGAAAGCGUGGGGAGCAAACAGG